RNAcentral lists this ribosomal RNA (440 nucleotides) under uncultured bacterium. RNAcentral describes it as "partial 16S ribosomal RNA". It matches the Rfam family "Bacterial small subunit ribosomal RNA", at positions 338 to 795 of the family's 1533-position model. The record is from RNAcentral.
CCUACGGGUGGCAGCAGUGAGGAAUAUUGGGCAAUGGAGGCAACUCUGACCCAGCCAUGCCGCGUGAGUGAAGACGGUUUUCGGAUUGUAAAACUCUUUCGGAUGUGACGAUGAUUACGGUAUCAUCUAAAUAAGCCCCGGCUAACUUCGUUCCAGCCGCCGCGGUAAUAAGCAGGGGGCAAGCGUUGUUCGGAAGUACUGGGCGUAAAGGGAGUGUAGGCGGUUUAGUAAGAUAGUGGUGAAAUGCCAGAGCUUAACUUUGGAAUUGCGAUUAUAACUAUUAGACUAGAAGGACAGCGAGGAUAGUGGAAGACCCAGUGUAGAGGUGAAAUGCGGAGAGAUUGGGUAGAAAACCAGUGGCGAAGGCGACUAUCGGGCUGUACAUUGACGCUGAGGCUCGAAAGCAUGGGGAUCAAACAGGAGGAGAUACCCUAGUAGUC